GUAAAAGCAGCAAAGUCCUGUUGCAGCUUAUAGACCAACAGAUGUAUUGGAGCAUGAGCUUUCAUGCGUGAAUUCCCACUUUGCCAGAUGCAUGGAGU
Molecule: long non-coding RNA, 98 nt
Organism: Gopherus evgoodei (Goodes thornscrub tortoise)
Lineage: Eukaryota; Metazoa; Chordata; Testudines; Testudinidae
Exons: 3
Source: RefSeq, a predicted model, not a curated record